UAGCUGCGAUACGUGAUGUGAAUUGCAGAAUUCGUGAAUCAUCGAAUCUUUGAACGCACAUUGCGCCCCUUGGUAUUCCAUGGGGCAUGCCUGUUCGAGCGUCAUUUGUACCCUCAAGCUCUGCUUGGUGUUGGGUGUUUGUCCCGUCUCCGCGCGUGGACUCGCCCCAAAGUGAUUGGCAGCCGGCGUACUGGUCCCGGAGCGCAGCACAUGUCGCGCAAACGAGUGCCUUGGUACGGCGGCGUCCAUAAGCCCCUCUCUCACGCUCUUGACCUCGGAUCAGGUAGGGAUACCCGCUGAACUUAAGC
RNAcentral lists this unclassified non-coding RNA (308 nucleotides) under plant metagenome. RNAcentral describes it as "partial contains 5.8S ribosomal RNA, internal transcribed spacer 2, and large subunit ribosomal RNA". The stretch from base 1 to 104 matches the Rfam family "5.8S ribosomal RNA", at positions 50 to 154 of the family's 154-position model. The record is from RNAcentral.